ACCGGAAACCGACCAGAACCCUGGGCAGGGGCGGGGGAACCAGGUCUUGCGCCGUCUCCCACGGCUUGGGGUGAAGCCGCCUCCGUGCGGCCGGGCCACCUCCCGGUCCGAACCCGACAGCUCACCUCGCAGGCGUGCGGAGAGGGACU
RNAcentral lists this small RNA (149 nucleotides) under Streptomyces sp. RNAcentral's name for it is "c-di-AMP sequence". It matches the Rfam family "c-di-AMP riboswitch aptamer (ydaO/yuaA leader)". From Rfam's summary of the family: This family represents a conserved RNA structure found upstream of the ydaO and yuaA genes in Bacillus subtilis and related genes in other bacteria. The ydaO/yuaA element is thought to act as a genetic "off" switch for the ydaO and yuaA genes in its native state. It is believed that the element may be triggered during osmotic shock leading to activation of ydaO, a predicted amino acid transporter gene, and members of the yuaA-yubG operon which code for KtrA and KtrB K+ transporters. Lineage: Bacteria; Bacillati; Actinomycetota; Actinomycetes; Kitasatosporales; Streptomycetaceae. The record is from RNAcentral.